UAAUGAUAGAUUUCAGGAUAUAAUUGGAUUAUAUCAAGCCCUAAUGAUAGACAAAAGAUGCUAGAAAGUUUCUCAUAUGAUGAUAAACUUUAAUCAGAAGGACAACUCUAGUGAGACUAGGAAGUUGCUCUUCUCAAAGGGAACAUACCCUUUUGACUCCUAAAGAAACAUAAUGCAUAAAUAGAAUCCUUUAUGCAUACGCAGAAAGGUGAUUUACGUAUUUCAUAAUGUAUGCAAAACAUUGAUAUGAGUUGUACCUAGAACGGUACAAGACAAUAUCAAUGCAUGCCCAGGAUCAGAACCAUGGCAACUAUCAAGUGAGUCCUUAAGUAUUUAAGAAAUACUAAGGGUAUAUAUUCCUCAAAGAAUGAGGAAGAAUUAGAGUAACAUAAUGGAAG
RNAcentral lists this long non-coding RNA (398 nucleotides) under Malus domestica (apple). RNAcentral's name for it is "long non-coding RNA (MDOM_LNC012947)". Lineage: Eukaryota; Viridiplantae; Streptophyta; Magnoliopsida; Rosales; Rosaceae. The record is from RNAcentral.